Molecule: ribosomal RNA, 117 nt
Filed under: Candidatus Daviesbacteria bacterium RIFCSPHIGHO2_01_FULL_41_45
Lineage: Bacteria; Candidatus Daviesiibacteriota
Also listed under: 1 other name
Source: RNAcentral
UGCGGUGGUUUGAGCGAGACGGCCCGACCUGAUCCCAUCCCGAACUCAGAAGUCAAACGUUUCAGCGGAGACGAUACUAGGGUCGAAAGGCCCCGGGACAAUAUCUCACUGCCGUAC